RNAcentral lists this transfer RNA (74 nucleotides) under Ictidomys tridecemlineatus (thirteen-lined ground squirrel). Its description in RNAcentral is "Spermophilus tridecemlineatus (thirteen-lined ground squirrel) tRNA". It matches the Rfam family "tRNA". Rfam says of the family: Transfer RNA (tRNA) molecules are approximately 80 nucleotides in length. Their secondary structure includes four short double-helical elements and three loops (D, anti-codon, and T loops). Lineage: Eukaryota; Metazoa; Chordata; Mammalia; Rodentia; Sciuridae. The record is from Rfam by way of RNAcentral.
GGGGAUAUAGCUCAGUUGGUAGAGUGCUUGCCUUAGAUCCACCAAGGCCCUGGGUUCAAUCCCCAGCACCACCA